Molecule: ribosomal RNA, 301 nt
Filed under: uncultured bacterium
Lineage: Bacteria
Description: partial 16S ribosomal RNA
Rfam family: Bacterial small subunit ribosomal RNA
Source: RNAcentral
CAGUCGCCGCGGUAAUGCGAAGGGUGCAAGCGUUAAUCGGAAUUACUGGGCGUAAAGCGUGCGUAGGCGGUGUGUUAAGUCUGAUGUGAAAUCCCCGGGCUUAACCUGGGAACGGCAGUGGAUACUGUCACGCUAGAGUGUGUUAGAGGAUGGUGGGAUUCCAGGUGUAGCGGUGAAAUGCGUAGAGAUCGGGAGGAAUAUCAGUGGCGAAGGCGGCCAUCUGGAAAAAGACUGACGCUGAGGUGCGAAAGCGUGGGGAGCAAACAGGAUUAGAUACCCGAGUAGUCCCUGUCUCUUAUAC